RNAcentral lists this ribosomal RNA (679 nucleotides) under uncultured bacterium. RNAcentral describes it as "bacterial SSU rRNA". It matches the Rfam family "Bacterial small subunit ribosomal RNA", at positions 49 to 749 of the family's 1533-position model. The record is from RNAcentral.
UAACACAUGCAAGUCGAACGAUGAUAGAGAGCUUGCUUUCUUGAUUAGUGGCGCACGGGUGAGUAAUGCAUAGAUAAUGUGCCCUUAGUUCGGGAUAGCCACUGGAAACGGUGAUUAAUACCGGAUACUCCUUCUUGUUAUAAGACAAGUCGGGAAAGUUUUUCGCUAAGGGAUCAGUCUAUGUUCCAUCAGCUUGUUGGUGAGGUAAUGGCUCACCAAGGCUAUGACGGAUAUCUGGUUUGAAAGGAUGAUCAGACACACUGGAACUGAGACACGGUCCAGACUCCUACGGGAGGCAGCAGUGAGGAAUAUUGCACAAUGGAGGAAACUCUGAUGCAGCAACGCCGCGUGGAGGAUGACGCAUUUCGGUGUGUAAACUCCUUUUAUUAGGGAAGAUAAUGACGGUACCUAAUGAAUAAGCACCGGCUAACUCCGUGCCGGCAGCCGCGGUAAUACGGAGGGUGCAAGCGUUACUCGGAAUCACUGGGCGUAAAGGGUGCGUAGGCUGGCUUUUAAGUCAGAUGUGAAAUCCAAUGGCUCAACCAUUGAACUGCAUUUGAAACUGAAAGCCUAGAGUUCAGAAGGGGCAGAUGGAAUUAGUGGUGUAGGGGUAAAAUCCGUAGAUAUCACUAGGAAUAUCAAAAGCGAAGGCGAUCUGCUGGGAUGAUACUGACGCUGA